UUGUGGCUAUGCGAUUAGCGACGUAAAGUUGUGUACAUUAGCUUAUUUUGAGUUAUGAUGUGUUGAUGUUUUUCUCGAAUAUAUACAUUGCGAUUCCUUUGUUGCAACGGCAGUGCAGUUGAGAAGAUUUGUGAAAAAAGAAGGCAAUGCGAUGCAGUUGAUAUUAGAUCCUUCCGGCAGUCAAAAUGGAACUGGAAAAUGAUAACAGCGUUAAAGAGACAGAAACUCGCGUCAAAACACUUCAAGCUACGUUAUUUCCACCACAGAUAACAAGCACUAGUAGCUAUUUUGCCAAUUUCCUUGUGAAAAACCAGUUCGACGAAGACGAUGAAUCGAAAUUUAAGAUCAAAGAGUUACCUUCCAGAGAGUGGUUUCCCAACAACAAAGAUGCUUCUUUCACUUUACAGCCUCCAAGAUGGCCGACAGAAUGCCAGGUACUGGAUAAGAGGGUACAUCACAUAUACGACAUACCGCCAACUUUCGAACCAUACUAUGUUCCUACCGGUAAUGAAAGCCAACCUAAACCAUCUGGCGAAGAAAGUGGAAUUGUUGUCUUUCAAUAUUCACCAAUAAGUGCUGUCAAUUAUUUUAGUAGGUCUAGUGUAGGAGGCAGUAAAUACCUCCUAUCAGCAAAUGUCUGCCCAGAAGAAGAUACCCUAAAAUUUGAAUCAAGAUUUGAGUCAGGAAAUUUAGCUAGGGCCAUUAUGAUAACGCCAAAUUUUUACGAGUUACAUCUGAGAUCAGACCUUUAUACAAAUAGGCACAUGCAAUGGUUCUAUUUCAAGGUCACCAAUGUCAAGAAAUCAUUUUUGUACAGGUUUUCCAUUACCAACUGUUCCAAAGAAAACAGCCUUUAUAAUGAAGGAAUGAGACCUUUGAUGUAUUCCACCAAAGACUCGCAGCUGCACUCUAUAGGCUGGCGGAGGUGCGGACAAAACAUAACCUAUUUUUGUAAUGACAAUGUGACUCCUGAAGACCCCGACCAGCAAAUGACGUACACUUUUACUUUCACUGUCAAAUUUCCUCAUGACGAUGACGAGAUUUAUUUUGCUCACUGCUAUCCAUAUACUUACUCAGAUCUUCAGGACUAUCUAUCAGAACUAUCUUCGCAUCCUGUCAAAUCUACAUACAGUACAGUUAGGCUUCUGUGUAAGAGCUUAGCUGGAAAUAAUGUUUUUUAUGUGACAAUCACCUCUCCAGUUGUUCAGGGAGAAACGAAGAAGAAACGUGCAAUUGUGAUAUCCGCCCGAGUGCAUCCAGGUGAAACUCCUUCAUCCUGGACGAUGAAAGGCAUUCUCGAUUUCCUAACCAGCGACUGUGGACCUGCCAAAGAAUUACGGGACAACUUCAUUUUCAAACUAGUGCCAAUGUUGAAUCCGGAUGGCGUUAUUGUGGGCAACAACCGUUGCUCUUUGUCCGCCAAAGAUUUGAACAGACAAUACAGGACAGUGAUUAGAGAUGCCUACCCUUCCAUAUGGUAUACCAAGCUAAUGGUUAGAAGACUAUUAGAAGAAUGUGGAGUAGCCCUUUAUUGUGAUCUCCAUGCACACUCCAGAAAACACAAUAUCUUCAUCUAUGGUUGUGAAAACAGGAGAGGAGCUGAGAGAAGGCUUCAGGAACAAGUGUUUCCUUUAAUGUUGCACAAAAAUACUGCAGAUAAGUUCUCUUUUGAGAGUUGCAAAUUCAGAAUCCAGAAAGCGAAGGAAGGAACAGGCAGGGUUGUGAUGUGGAUGAUGGGCAUAGCCAAUAGCUACACCAUGGAAGCUUCCUUUGCCGGUUCCACUCUUGGUAACAGAGCCGAUACCCAUUUUUCUACUCAAGACUACGAACAGAUGGGUCGAUCUUUCUGUCAAACUCUCUUAGACUUUUAUGAUGAUGAUCCCAAAAAGGAGAAACUGAGAAUGAAAAUUGUCGAGAGGCUGGUAAAAGAGGGGUCAAACGCAGAUGAACCCAUGAAUAUUCGUCUCAGUGACUAUUCAAGUGAUGAUGGAGAUACAUCCAGCAGCAGCGAUGAGGUGGGACGUGAAGAAGAAGAAGAAUACGUCCAAAUAACUGCCCCACCACCCUCACCGGCAGCGGUGAAGAAGAAAUCCAAGAAAUCUUCUUCCGCAAUAACGAAGGUGGCUUCAAAAAGUCCGACUGUUCCGAGAAAACCGUUGCCAAUAUGCAAAGCUACCUUGAAACUUUCUUUAUCAGACAAAGACAGUUCCGACUCUAGCUCAUCAGAUAGUGAAUCGGAAGUGGAAAAAGUUAAAGAGAAAGUUCGGAUUUUGCGGAGACGAAGGAAGAAAAAGUUAUCUAAGAAGAAAAAGAAAAGGAGUGAAAGCUGGGACCAGUUUGAUCAAAUUCUUGUAAUAGAAAUUCAGCCUGUUCAAGACUACUCUGAUAGCGAAGGACAAGUUAGCAGGACUCAAAGAAGCAUUUCGGUUUUUGAUUUGAUCCCCACUGAAUCGUUGGGAUCCCACCUGUUUAAUAGAAGAUCAAAAACACCGCAACCAAAGCUUGUGGAGAAAAAACCUCAGGUCACCCGACAACUAGCGGAAGUUCAAGCUAAAUUGUACAGCUUGAAAAAUAAAUUGUGGUUUGGAGUAGGCAAUGGUGACGUACCUUUAUCUUGGGGAGGCGGUGAGAGAGCUUACUUUUCCGAUGGUCGGACUUCCUCACCACAGAAUUUUUCAGGAGGAACCAUACUAAAUCUUCUAAGAAAUGUCUGAAAUCGGAUAAGAGGAGCAUAACGAAGGAAGUGAAGCCAAAAACUGAAGGGAAAGAAAAAUCUUUGAAAAACCAAAAUGGAUUGAGAAGACAAGCAAAUGUUGAAUUUUCUUCCCAGCCACAACAAACCGUAAAAGGUUUACUU
RNAcentral lists this unclassified non-coding RNA (2857 nucleotides) under Leptinotarsa decemlineata (Colorado potato beetle). Its description in RNAcentral is "cytosolic carboxypeptidase Nna1-like, transcript variant X2". Lineage: Eukaryota; Metazoa; Arthropoda; Insecta; Coleoptera; Chrysomelidae. The record is from RNAcentral.